AAAAACUCCGGUGGUAUGGGGUGGACCCGCGUCUGAUUAGCCAGUUGGCAGGGUAACGGCCUACCAAAGCGACGAUCAGUAGCCGGCCUGAGAGGGUGGACGGCCACAUUGGGACUGAGACACGGCCCAAACUCCUACGGGAGGCAGCAGUGGGGAAUAUUGCACAAUGGGGGAAACCCUGAUGCAGCGACGCCGCGUGAGUGAAGAAGUAUUUCGGUAUGUAAAGCUCUAUCAGCAGGAACGAGACAAGACGGUACCUGACUAAGAAGCCCCGGCUAACUACGUGCCAGCAGCCGCGGUAAUACGUAGGGGGCAAGCGUUAUCCGGAAUCACUGGGUGUAAAGGGAGCGUAGACGGCUGAGCAAGCCUGAAGUGAAAGGCGGGGGCCCAACCCCCGGACUGCUUUGGGAACUGUACGGCUGGAGUGCAGGAGAGGUAAGUGGAAUUCCUAGUGUAGCGGUGAAAUGCGUAGAUAUUAGGAGGAACACCAGUGGCGAAGGCGGCUUACUGGACUGUAACUGACGUUGAGGCUCGAAAGCGUGGGGAGCAAACAGGAUUAGAUACCCUGGUAGUCCACGCCGUAAACGAUGAUUACUAGGUGUCGGGGGGCAGAGGCCCUUCG
RNAcentral lists this ribosomal RNA (622 nucleotides) under uncultured bacterium. Its description in RNAcentral is "bacterial SSU rRNA". It matches the Rfam family "Bacterial small subunit ribosomal RNA", at positions 202 to 842 of the family's 1533-position model. The record is from RNAcentral.